RNAcentral lists this transfer RNA (76 nucleotides) under Gemmatimonadota bacterium. RNAcentral's name for it is "Gemmatimonadetes bacterium (beach sand metagenome) tRNA-Gln". It matches the Rfam family "tRNA". From Rfam's summary of the family: Transfer RNA (tRNA) molecules are approximately 80 nucleotides in length. The record is from RNAcentral. Lineage: Bacteria; Pseudomonadati; Gemmatimonadota.
UGGGGUGUCGUCCAAUUGGCAGGACGCCUGAUUCUGGAUCAGGAGGUUGUAGGUUCGAGUCCUACCACCCCAGCCA